RNAcentral lists this ribosomal RNA (509 nucleotides) under uncultured bacterium. RNAcentral's name for it is "bacterial SSU rRNA". It matches the Rfam family "Bacterial small subunit ribosomal RNA", at positions 29 to 537 of the family's 1533-position model. The record is from RNAcentral.
AUUGAACGCUGGCGGCAUGCCUUACACAUGCAAGUCGAACGGUAACGCGGGGCAACCUGGCGACGAGUGGCGAACGGGUGAGUAAUAUAUCGGAACGUGCCCAGUAGUGGGGGAUAGCCCGGCGAAAGCCGGAUUAAUACCGCAUGAGACCUGAGGGUGGAAGCGGGGGAUCGCAAGACCUCGCGCUAUUGGAGCGGCCGAUAUCAGAUUAGGUAGUUGGUGGGGUAAAGGCCUACCAAGCCGACGAUCUGUAGCUGGUCUGAGAGGACGACCAGCCACACUGGGACUGAGACACGGCCCAGACUCCUACGGGAGGCAGCAGUGGGGAAUUUUGGACAAUGGGCGCAAGCCUGAUCCAGCCAUGCCGCGUGCGGGAAGAAGGCCUUCGGCUGUAAACCGCUUUGUCAGGGAGAAAUACUUCUGGGUUAAUACCUCGGGAGGAUGACGGUACCGUGAAGAAUAAGCACCGGCUAACUACGUGCCAGCAGCCGCGGUAAAGGUAACUACUA